Long non-coding RNA from Gadus macrocephalus (Pacific cod), 1150 nucleotides. RefSeq lists it as uncharacterized. The record is from RefSeq and is a predicted model, not a curated record. The transcript is spliced from 3 exons. NCBI's taxonomy places the organism in Eukaryota, Metazoa, Chordata, Actinopteri, Gadiformes, Gadidae.
AUUCAGGGGGCGUGUGUGAAUUUGCAUGGAAAUGCUCUUCAAUCCCCCAAUCAGAUGUUUGCUUGCAUUCACAGGCUUCUGUGAUGAGCAUGUGGGUAAAGACAUAAGCAAACGAAUUAAUAGACCGAGAUACUUCCCUGCAGUUAUUAAAGUGAGCCCGCUCUUAGCUGCAUCCAUGGGUCAAACUGGACGUGGCAUUUCGCAGGACCCCAGAGGCUGAAAGAGACCUAUAGGCCCCAACACAGCCCUGCUGCUCUCCUUAUGCCUCCUAAAGCCCACUUCCAGCUUGGCUGAGGACGUCAAGGCAGGAGAAGACCCCAUCUGCAGUGUGAACCUCACUAGAGGAGGACACAGUCCUGGGAGGAUCUUCCACUGCUGCCGGUGGACACGCCUAAACUAAUCCCCCCUGAGUUGGACAUCUCAGCAAGUUUAGCCUGACUUUGGAAACGAUUAAAGAAUUAAAAACGAAUGGAACACGCAAUAUCGAAUUUCCACCUGCGACCACAGGGUGAAAUGGAGCUGAGCCUUACUUUUUAAAUUGCACUUUAAAGAUGUAGAGUAAAUAAAGGGUGACUUAAUUUGUGCGGAAUAUGAUGUCAUGCCAUUGUCCGCAGCUGAAAGAUUUGCACUGAUUCUUUUGUGAUUUCGUCUGAGGUUCUGCAUGCACACUUAGAUCUAAUCAGAGGACCAAAAUGGAUGCAAGUGAUAGCUCACUGAAAGAAUAUUUAUUGCACAGACGUGUACAAUUAGUUUGACAAGGCUGUGGGGAAGGAAGGAGGAAUUCCAGAUCUUUGGAGUGUUGGUUGAGUCAGAAGCAUUUAAUAUUGCUUUUCUUAUAAUUAACAUAAAUUUGGUACAUCAGAAUGCUAAUUUUGAAACAACCAUUAGACAUACAAUCCACACAUGCUAAACUUUAACCACACACAAAUAUCGUCAAAGCAUAAUAGGAAUAAUGGAACCCACACACAGAAGCCUUUUUCCAUACUAUAAGGCAUUUGUAUGUGUUUAGCUAUUGUGCACGGUAAUCCAUAUCCAUGGCAACAGAGAGGUUAUGGGAUAUAUGUGGCCAUGACUUCUGAAGUCAAAAUAAUAGGCCAGGUGCAUUGGCCGGAUGGACUGAACAGACCCCCCAGACUCAACAGCACCCUGG